RNAcentral lists this non-coding RNA (26 nucleotides) under Mus musculus (house mouse). The record is from RNAcentral. RNAcentral also lists the same sequence under 1 other name. Lineage: Eukaryota; Metazoa; Chordata; Mammalia; Rodentia; Muridae.
UCAAUUCUCGAUCUUACAGCACAAGC